CCCGCCCACGGGACCAGUGGUCCCAUCGCCGGUCUCCCCCCACCCAGAUCUGCUGGAGGCGCACCGAAUCCUGCCUCACUGCCGGUUCCGCGACUCGGCCGCCGCCCCAACCGCUGCAGCAGCCGAGCACCUCCACUAGGUGCCCCGACGGUUCAGACCCUCACCUGGCCCCUCCCUCGAACCCAGCGAGCCUCCGCCCCGGCCUACUUCCCGCGCGAGGUCGCCUCCGCCUCCUCCUGGCGCAUCGCCGCCCCCACCAUUUGGAUCGAUGUCCCACUUGAGUUAGACGUGAACGAUAUGUUGAAGAGCAAGGGGGCACAUGCUAUUUCAGACCCUGAUUCGUUUUCUCAGGCAAUGGCAAAGCUCCGUCAGCGUUAUGAUGAUCUGAAAGAGCGGUAUGCAGUUUCUGAUGUUACUGUUUCAGUACAGAGGGUCAUCGAGGCUGCCCGCAACCCGAUGCCCUCCACGGACACCACCACCAUGAUGGCGGAAGGAAGAGUAAGAGGGGUCGUCGAGGCUGGGUGCCGCCGUGAGGAUGCUGGCGCCCGUGCACGUUGA
This 558-nucleotide ribosomal RNA is filed under the name Triticum aestivum (bread wheat). Its description in RNAcentral is "partial small subunit ribosomal RNA". Lineage: Eukaryota; Viridiplantae; Streptophyta; Magnoliopsida; Poales; Poaceae. The record is from RNAcentral.